Molecule: ribosomal RNA, 324 nt
Filed under: uncultured eukaryote
Lineage: Eukaryota
Description: partial 18S ribosomal RNA
Rfam family: Eukaryotic small subunit ribosomal RNA
Source: RNAcentral
CCCUUAGAUGUCCGGGGCCGCACGCGCGCUACACUGAAGGAAUCAGCGUGGCUCUGUCCCUGGUCCGAAAGGAUUGGGAAACCCGUUGAAUCUCCUUCGUGAUAGGGAUUGGGGCUUGGAACUGUUCCCCAUGAACGAGGAAUUCCUAGUAAGCGUAGUUCAUCAAACUGCGUUGAUUACGUCCCUGCCCUUUGUACACACCGCCCGUCGCUACUACCGAUGGAGUGUUUUAGUGAGGCCUCGGGACCGGUCCUGACUGGCAUUGCCUGACGGACUGGGAACUUGGUCAAACUUGAAUACUUAGAGGAAGUAAAAGUCGUAACA